Molecule: ribosomal RNA, 301 nt
Filed under: uncultured bacterium
Lineage: Bacteria
Description: partial 16S ribosomal RNA
Rfam family: Bacterial small subunit ribosomal RNA
Source: RNAcentral
CAGUCGCCGCGGGAAUACGUAGGGUGCGAGCGUUAAUCGGAAUUACUGGGCGUAAAGCGUGCGCAGGCGGUUCGUUAAGACAGAUGUGAAAUCCCCGGGCUUAGCCUGGGAACUGCAUUUGUGACUGGCGAGCCAGAGUAUGGCAGAGGGGGGUAGAAUUCCACGUGUAGCAGUGAAAUGCGUAGAGAUGUGGAGGAAUACCGAUGGCGAAGGCAGCCCCCUGGGCCAAUACUGACGCUCAUGCACGAAAGCGUGGGGAGCAAACAGGAUUAGAUACCCCCGUAGUCCCUGUCUCUUAUAC